GACGAACGCUGGCGGCGUGCCUAAUACAUGCAAGUAGAACGCUGAAGGAGGAGCUUGCUUCUCUGGAUGAGUUGCGAACGGGUGAGUAACGCGUAGGUAACCUGCCUGGUAGCGGGGGAUAACUAUUGGAAACGAUAGCUAAUACCGCAUAAGAGUAGAUGUUGCAUGACAUUUGCUUAAAAGGUGCAAUUGCAUCACUACCAGAUGGACCUGCGUUGUAUUAGCUAGUUGGUGGGGUAACGGCUCACCAAGGCGACGAUACAUAGCCGACCUGAGAGGGUGAUCGGCCACACUGGGACUGAGACACGGCCCAGACUCCUACGGGAGGCAGCAGUAGGGAAUCUUCGGCAAUGGACGGAAGUCUGACCGAGCAACGCCGCGUGAGUGAAGAAGGUUUUCGGAUCGUAAAGCUCUGUUGUAAGAGAAGAACGAGUGUGAGAGUGGAAAGUUCACACUGUGACGGUAUCUUACCAGAAAGGGACGGCUAACUACGUGCCAGCAGCCGCGGUAAUACGUAGGUGGCAAGCGUUAUCCGGAUUUAUUGGGCGUAAAGAGAGUGCAGGCGGUUUUCUAAGUCUGAUGUGAAAGCCUUCGGCUUAACCGGGAGAAGUGCAUCGGAAACUGGAUAACUUGAGUGCAGAAGGGGCAGUGGAACUCCAUGUGUAGCGGUGGAAUGCGUACAUAUAUGGAAGAGCACCAGUGGCGAAGGCGGCUACCUGGUCUGCAACUGACGCUGAGACUCGAAGGCGUGGGGGCGAACAGG
Molecule: ribosomal RNA, 763 nt
Filed under: uncultured Streptococcus sp.
Lineage: Bacteria; Bacillati; Bacillota; Bacilli; Lactobacillales; Streptococcaceae
Description: bacterial SSU rRNA
Rfam family: Bacterial small subunit ribosomal RNA
Source: RNAcentral